GUUUGUGGCUCAGAGGUAGAGUGCUUGCCUGGCAUGUGUGAGGCGCUGGGUUCAAUCCUCAGCAACACA
RNAcentral lists this transfer RNA (69 nucleotides) under Marmota monax (woodchuck). RNAcentral's name for it is "tRNA.Ala". The record is from RNAcentral. Lineage: Eukaryota; Metazoa; Chordata; Mammalia; Rodentia; Sciuridae.